AUGCGAAUAUUCUCGCUGUCCUGAUGUUUCUGUGAUCAGGGCAGGCUAGACAUUCGCUAUAGUAAAACCAUGCAUUGUGUCCUCCAGGACUAGAUUGUUGUUUUAGUCCUGGCUCUGUAAAUGCUGGUGACAGGU
Molecule: small nucleolar RNA, 135 nt
Organism: Chloebia gouldiae (Gouldian finch)
Lineage: Eukaryota; Metazoa; Chordata; Aves; Passeriformes; Passeridae
Gene: SNORA72
Rfam family: Small nucleolar RNA SNORA72
About the family: U72 is a member of the H/ACA class of snoRNAs. The snoRNA gene is located in intron 4 of the ribosomal L30 protein gene in human, mouse and chicken.
Source: Ensembl